RNAcentral lists this ribosomal RNA (253 nucleotides) under uncultured bacterium. RNAcentral's name for it is "partial 16S ribosomal RNA". It matches the Rfam family "Bacterial small subunit ribosomal RNA", at positions 524 to 776 of the family's 1533-position model. The record is from RNAcentral.
UACGUAGGGACCAAGCGUUGUCCGGAAUCAUUGGGCGUAAAGAGCGUGUAGGCGGCCUGUUAAGUCUUGCGUGAAAUCUCGGGGCUCAACCCCGAGCGGUCGUGAGAAACUGGCGGGCUAGAGUGCGGGAGAGGAGAGUGGAAUUCCUGGUGUAGCGGUGAAAUGCGCAGAUAUCAGGAAGAACACCCGUGGCGAAGGCGGCUCUCUGGAACGCAACUGACGCUGAGACGCGAAAGCGUGGGGAGCAAACAGG